CUUUUAAAUUUGAAGCAUCAUGAAUACCGGACGGGUAGAAAUGCUAACAACAAUUAUGGAUUUUCUCUAACUGACAGUUAGUGGAUAAUCCCUACUCAAAUCGAUCCUAGCCAUUGUCAUUCGUACUGUGCUUAUGUAUCAACUACAGAUACGGAUAUUCCUUGCCAGCUUUCCCCAAUCGUAAUCGAUCUGCUCUAGUUUGAGAUUUUUGCCGUUCGAUCGUUGUAGUGGGCGUUGCUAGGAGAGAGAACUAGAGUGAAGCAUACAAGGUGUUUUCGUCUUUGUGAUACUAGUGAAUUGCGCAUACUCUGCCCAGUUCUCAGUUUCAAGCAUGGAUCCGGAGGCUGCACGAACUGCUCGAGAAUCUCUAGACCUAGCAUUCCAUAUGUCCAAUAUUCUUGAUACGGGUCUAAGAAAAGGGAAACCCUCAUUGUUGUCAUCAUCUCUUGCGUCGGCUUCUUCUUCUUUGCCAUAAUAAAUGGAUUUUUUUAUUAGAUGCCAUUCUGUCCAUGCUUGCUUAAGUUCUCUAAUCCAUCUUUUUUGUCUGUUCUUGAUGUUGUUCUUUGAAUUGCUUUGCUUGUUCUUUUGUAUGAGCUUCAUUUGAUGUACAGUGGCAUUGUUUUAGUACAAAAAUUGAUGUGUUGCAAUUAGGACCUCCUAUUUGAAGGCUUAUCUUUGAGAGUAAAUUUUCAGUUAGCGUAAAGAGCCGAGUUCCA
Long non-coding RNA from Glycine soja, 716 nucleotides. RefSeq lists it as uncharacterized. NCBI's taxonomy places the organism in Eukaryota, Viridiplantae, Streptophyta, Magnoliopsida, Fabales, Fabaceae. The record is from RefSeq and is a predicted model, not a curated record. The transcript has 3 exons.